RNAcentral lists this ribosomal RNA (381 nucleotides) under uncultured bacterium. RNAcentral's name for it is "bacterial SSU rRNA". It matches the Rfam family "Bacterial small subunit ribosomal RNA", at positions 124 to 500 of the family's 1533-position model. The record is from RNAcentral.
ACAUGCCCAGUCGUGGGGAAUAACACUUCGAAAGAAGUGCUAAUACCGCAUACGUCCUGAGGGAGAAAGCGGGGGAUCGCAAGACCUCGCGCGAUUGGAGUGGCCGAUGUCAGAUUAGCUAGUUGGUGGGGUAAAGGCCUACCAAGGCAACGAUCUGUAGCUGGUCUGAGAGGAUGAUCAGCCACACUGGGACUGAGACACGGCCCAGACUCCUACGGGAGGCAGCAGUGGGGAAUUUUGGACAAUGGGGGCAACCCUGAUCCAGCCAUUCCGCGUGAGUGAAGAAGGCCUUCGGGUUGUAAAGCUCUUUCGGCAGGAACGAAACGGCGAGCUCUAACAUAGCUCGCUAAUGACGGUACCUGAAGAAGAAGCACCGGCUAA